UUCUGGACUUGCUCUGCAUGUCGGGCUCCCUGCACUUUUGGUGCGGCCAACCGAACAUGGGGCAGUCUCUUCAUUCUCCCUCCAUGCGUGAAAUCUGUUGUGGUUGGGAUGGUUCGGUUGCCUGUGCGGAUCUACCCUCUUGUGGGUAGCGAAGUCGUCCCUUGAUGGAUAUUUGCUUGCCUUUAUGACGUAUUUUGUCGUUUGGGCAGCCGAAAUGUUGGUGAAAUCCUUGUGUCGGUGCGUAUUCGAAUGAUGUGUUGCUAUCACUUGGAUUUUUGCCGGCUCUCACGGAUGCGGUGCCUAUUGCUAGCUCUGCGGGACUUUGCCCCGCAGACUUCGGGAGGUCCCUUGUACGAAUCACUGCUCUUAUACGCCGUUUGUCGUGUUGCCUGUGGCGACACGCAGAUCGUGUUCUGUCGUGUUGUAGUUAACGACAUGCCAGAACAAAGUGUCCGGAGCGUGCUCGCGUGCAUAUGGAUUGCCUCUCGUUCGUAUGAGCAGCGAUUUUCGGUUUGCGUCUUGUGAAGGUUCGCCUUUUUGGGUUGAUGCUGGAGCUGACGUGCCGGCUCUCGUUAAGACGUGCUACUGUUGAU
This 593-nucleotide unclassified non-coding RNA is filed under the name Carex fraseriana. RNAcentral's name for it is "partial external transcribed spacer". The record is from RNAcentral. Lineage: Eukaryota; Viridiplantae; Streptophyta; Magnoliopsida; Poales; Cyperaceae.